UUAAUUGAAGAGUUUGAUCAUGGCUCAGAUUGAACGCUGGCGGCAGGCCUAACACAUGCAAGUCGAGCGGUAGCACAGGAGAGCUUGCUCUCUGGGUGACGAGCGGCGGACGGGUGAGUAAUGUCUGGGAAACUGCCUGAUGGAGGGGGAUAACUACUGGAAACGGUAGCUAAUACCGCAUAACGUCUUCGGACCAAAGUGGGGGACCUUCGGGCCUCACGCCAUCAGAUGUGCCCAGAUGGGAUUAGCUAGUAGGUGGGGUAAUGGCUCACCUAGGCGACGAUCCCUAGCUGGUCUGAGAGGAUGACCAGCCACACUGGAACUGAGACACGGUCCAGACUCCUACGGGAGGCAGCAGUGGGGAAUAUUGCACAAUGGGCGCAAGCCUGAUGCAGCCAUGCCGCGUGUGUGAAGAAGGCCUUCGGGUUGUAAAGCACUUUCAGCGAGGAGGAAGGGCAGUGUGUUAAUAGCACAUUGCAUUGACGUUACUCGCAGAAGAAGCACCGGCUAACUCCGUGCCAGCAGCCGCGGUAAUACGGAGGGUGCAAGCGUUAAUCGGAAUUACUGGGCGUAAAGCGCACGCAGGCGGUUUGUUAAGUCAGAUGUGAAAUCCCCGCGCUUAACGUGGGAACUGCAUUUGAAACUGGCAAGCUAGAGUCUUGUAGAGGGGGGUAGAAUUCCAGGUGUAGCGGUGAAAUGCGUAGAGAUCUGGAGGAAUACCGGUGGCGAAGGCGGCCCCCUGGACAAAGACUGACGCUCAGGUGCGAAAGCGUGGGGAGCAAACAGGAUUAGAUACCCUGGUAGUCCACGCUGUAAACGAUGUCGACUUGGAGGUUGUGCCCUUGAGGCGUGGCUUCCGGAGCUAACGCGUUAAGUCGACCGCCUGGGGAGUACGGCCGCAAGGUUAAAACUCAAAUGAAUUGACGGGGGCCCGCACAAGCGGUGGAGCAUGUGGUUUAAUUCGAUGCAACGCGAAGAACCUUACCUACUCUUGACAUCCAGAGAAUUCGCUAGAGAUAGCUUAGUGCCUUCGGGAACUCUGAGACAGGUGCUGCAUGGCUGUCGUCAGCUCGUGUUGUGAAAUGUUGGGUUAAGUCCCGCAACGAGCGCAACCCUUAUCCUUUGUUGCCAGCACGUAAUGGUGGGAACUCAAAGGAGACUGCCGGUGAUAAACCGGAGGAAGGUGGGGAUGACGUCAAGUCAUCAUGGCCCUUACGAGUAGGGCUACACACGUGCUACAAUGGCGUAUACAAAGAGAAGCGAACUCGCGAGAGCCAGCGGACCUCAUAAAGUACGUCGUAGUCCGGAUCGGAGUCUGCAACUCGACUCCGUGAAGUCGGAAUCGCUAGUAAUCGUAGAUCAGAAUGCUACGGUGAAUACGUUCCCGGGCCUUGUACACACCGCCCGUCACACCAUGGGAGUGGGUUGCAAAAGAAGUAGGUAGCUUAACCUUCGGGAGGGCGCUUACCACUUUGUGAUUCAUGACUGGGGUGAAGUCGUAACAAGGUAACCGUAGGGGAACCUGCGGUUGGAUCACCUCCUUACCU
This 1547-nucleotide ribosomal RNA is filed under the name Serratia quinivorans. RNAcentral's name for it is "bacterial SSU rRNA". It matches the Rfam family "Bacterial small subunit ribosomal RNA". The record is from RNAcentral. Lineage: Bacteria; Pseudomonadati; Pseudomonadota; Gammaproteobacteria; Enterobacterales; Yersiniaceae.